RNAcentral lists this transfer RNA (75 nucleotides) under Deracantha onos. RNAcentral's name for it is "tRNA-Cys". The record is from RNAcentral. Lineage: Eukaryota; Metazoa; Arthropoda; Insecta; Orthoptera; Tettigoniidae.
GAUCUUAUAGUUAAGGAAUAAUUUUAGACUGGACAUUAGACUGCAAUUCUAAAGGAGUAGGUACUACUAAGGCUU